RNAcentral lists this ribosomal RNA (322 nucleotides) under uncultured eukaryote. RNAcentral describes it as "partial 18S ribosomal RNA". It matches the Rfam family "Eukaryotic small subunit ribosomal RNA", at positions 1470 to 1796 of the family's 1831-position model. The record is from RNAcentral.
CCCUUAGAUGUUCUGGGCCGCACGCGCGCUACACUGAUGCGUUCAACAAGUUUCCUUGGCCGAGAGGCCUGGGCAAUCUUCUUAAUAUGUAUCGUGAUAGGGAUAGAUUAUUGCAAUUAUUAAUCUUGAACGAGGAAUUCCUAGUAAACGCAGAUCAUCAAUCUGCAUUGAUUACGUCCCUGCCCUUUGUACACACCGCCCGUCGCACCUACCGAUUGGAUGUUCCGGUGAAGCCUCGGGAUGAGGACUGGUGCCUUUAUUGGCACGAGUUGUUCAGAACUUGUCUAAACCUUAUCAUCUAGAGGAAGGUGAAGUCGUAACA